Molecule: ribosomal RNA, 253 nt
Filed under: uncultured bacterium
Lineage: Bacteria
Description: partial 16S ribosomal RNA
Rfam family: Bacterial small subunit ribosomal RNA
Source: RNAcentral
UACGGAGGGUGCGAGCGUUGUCCGGAAUCACUGGGCGUAAAGGGCGCGUAGGCGGCGUCGUGAGUCAACGGUGAAAGCUCAGGGCUCAACCCUGAGUCGGCCGUCGAUACUGGCGAACUGGAGUGUGGCAGAGGGGGGUGGAAUUCCGCGUGUAGCAGUGAAAUGCGUAGAGAUGCGGAGGAACACCGAUGGCGAAGGCAGCCCCCUGGGCUGACACUGACGCUCAGGCACGAAAGCGUGGGGAGCAAACAGG